RNAcentral lists this ribosomal RNA (484 nucleotides) under uncultured bacterium. Its description in RNAcentral is "bacterial SSU rRNA". It matches the Rfam family "Bacterial small subunit ribosomal RNA", at positions 28 to 508 of the family's 1533-position model. The record is from RNAcentral.
GAUGAACGCUAGCGGCAGGCCUAAUACAUGCAAGUCGAGGGGCAGCAGGGAUAGCAAUAUUCGCUGGCGACCGGCGCACGGGUGCGUAACACGUAUACAAUCUGCCUUUAACUGGGGGAUAGCCCGGAGAAAUCCGGAUUAAUACCCCAUAAUACUUGAAAUGGCAUCAUUUUAAGUUGAAAGCUCCGGCGGUUAAAGAUGAGUAUGCGUCUGAUUAGCUAGUUGGUGAGGUAACGGCUCACCAAGGCAACGAUCAGUAGGGGAUCUGAGAGGAUUAACCCCCACACGGAUACUGAGACACGGAUCCGACUCCUACGGGAGGCAGCAGUAAGGAAUAUUGGACAAUGCCCGCAAGGGUGAUCCAGCCAUGCCGCGUGCAGGAAGACGGCCCUAUGGGUUGUAAACUGCUUUUACACCGGAGAAAACCCCAGUACGUGUACUGGGCUGAUAGUAUGGUGAGAAUAAGCAUCGGCUAACUUCGUGC